CAGUCGCCGCGGUAAAACGGAGGGUGCAAGCGUUAAUCGGAAUUACUGGGCGUAAAGCGCACGCAGGCGGUCUGACAAGUCAGAUGUGAAAUCCCCGGGCUUAACCUGGGAACUGCAUUUGAAACUGUCAGGCUGGAGUCUUGUAGAGGGGGGUGGAAUUCCAGGUGUAGCGGUGAAAUGCGUAGAGAUCUGGAGGAAUACCGGUGGCGAAGGCGGCCCCCUGGACAAAGACUGACGCUCAGGUGCGAAAGCGUGGGGAGCAAACAGGAUUAGAUACCCGUGUAGUCCCUGUCUCUUAUAC
RNAcentral lists this ribosomal RNA (301 nucleotides) under uncultured bacterium. RNAcentral describes it as "partial 16S ribosomal RNA". It matches the Rfam family "Bacterial small subunit ribosomal RNA", at positions 509 to 807 of the family's 1533-position model. The record is from RNAcentral.